This 483-nucleotide ribosomal RNA is filed under the name uncultured bacterium. Its description in RNAcentral is "partial 16S ribosomal RNA". It matches the Rfam family "Bacterial small subunit ribosomal RNA", at positions 30 to 507 of the family's 1533-position model. The record is from RNAcentral.
UUGAACGCUGGCGGCAGGCCUAACACAUGCAAGUCGAGCGGUAGAGAGAAGCUUGCUUCUCUUGAGAGCGGCGGACGGGUGAGUAAUGCCUAGGAAUCUGCCUGGUAGUGGGGGAUAACGUUCGGAAACGGACGCUAAUACCGCAUACGUCCUACGGGAGAAAGCAGGGGACCUUCGGGCCUUGCGCUAUCAGAUGAGCCUAGGUCGGAUUAGCUAGUUGGUGGGGUAAUGGCUCACCAAGGCGACGAUCCGUAACUGGUCUGAGAGGAUGAUCAGUCACACUGGAACUGAGACACGGUCCAGACUCCUACGGGAGGCAGCAGUGGGGAAUAUUGGACAAUGGGCGAAAGCCUGAUCCAGCCAUGCCGCGUGUGUGAAGAAGGUCUUCGGAUUGUAAAGCACUUUAAGUUGGGAGGAAGGGUUGUAGAUUAAUACUCUGCAAUUUUGACGUUACCGACAGAAUAAGCACCGGCUAACUCUGUG